Molecule: non-coding RNA, 24 nt
Filed under: Cricetulus griseus (Chinese hamster)
Lineage: Eukaryota; Metazoa; Chordata; Mammalia; Rodentia; Cricetidae
Source: RNAcentral
UGGCUGUCCUGGAACUCAGAGAGA